UUUUAUGUUUUUCUCCUAAAAAUUCAAGUUAUCAUCAUCAAAAACCGUUUUCAAAACGUUUUCAUCGAAUCUGAAAUUUACCCAGAUGUCUGUGUUCUUGGUGUUCUUCACAUCUUCAUGUGUUGAAAGAUGUGAAGAACUUCGAAAGAUCUGACAUGUGCCAGAAAAGUCAACUUCACAACCUUCGAAAGAUUCUUUUCUCGAAGGAUUAUCUCACAACCUCGAAAGAUCAAAUCUGUUCGAAAGACAGAAACUGAUCUGUGAAUCAUCUUUCGAGACCGAAAGAUCUGUGCUCGAAACUUCCAACACCUUCGAAAGAUCAUUUCAACAGCUGUCACAGGAUAAUUAUUUCAACAACUUCGAAGGAUACAUCCUUCGGUUGUGGAAACAGCUGUCACACAAGAAAAAUUGUUGACUUUUGGGGUUGAUGUUGUUGUCGGCUGUUGUUAUCAUCACACAAGAGAAGAAAAUAAAGACAAAAUGAAGAUGAUGUUUAUCGGCUGACUUUGGGGAAAGAGAUUACAACUGUUGUCGGCUAAAUGGAAGUAUAGGGUUGGUCAAUUUUAGCGGUGAUGACUUUAUCAAGUCAAAAAGUGGGCUAUGGAUACCUGUCUGUGUCUGUAUUAAUUGAUAGAGAGCAGACAGAACAGUGACUUUUCGAAGGACAUCGUACACAGUGACUUUAUCAAU
This 690-nucleotide long non-coding RNA is filed under the name Helianthus annuus (common sunflower). RNAcentral's name for it is "hypothetical non coding rna". Lineage: Eukaryota; Viridiplantae; Streptophyta; Magnoliopsida; Asterales; Asteraceae. The record is from RNAcentral.